Long non-coding RNA from Fukomys damarensis (Damara mole-rat), 270 nucleotides. RefSeq lists it as uncharacterized. The record is from RefSeq and is a predicted model, not a curated record. The transcript has 3 exons. Lineage: Eukaryota; Metazoa; Chordata; Mammalia; Rodentia; Bathyergidae.
UAGAAACAGACCUUUCCAUCUGAGUGGUUCCAUCGCAGGAUUCACAUCUAAAGCUUUGCAAAGACACUUUGUGUUCAUCAACGAGGGGCAGAUCGCAGUGUCACUUCAUGUCAUACUCAAGUGAGAGAUGCUGAAUAAGUUAUACAGUAACUUACUUAUCAAAUAGGCACGUACAAACUCCACGGAGCUCUGAGAUGAGGCGAAAAUAAAUGAAAAUAGGGCUUAAAUCCUGUGAAAUGUGCAUAAGAACUGUGGAUGCUUGGCAGGGGG